GGGGAUGAGGUGUGAAGAGAGACUGCGCAUGUGCAUGAAUACCACAAGACAUUUUGCCGCCAGUUCAGUUUGUUCAAAGCUUGUUCCACUGGGAAAGGGAGUGGGAUAGAUGUGUCAGAGUGAGAGAGUGAGAGUGAGAGAGUGAGAGAGAGAGAGAGAGAGAGAGAGAGAGAGAGAGAGAGAGAGAGAGAGAGAGAGAGAGAGAAAAGUCCUUGAUAGAAGAAAAGAAAAAAACAACAACUGAAUGAUGACGGAAGGCUUUUACCUCUGGGAGUUGCUUUGCUUGACUUUCAGAAAGAAGAAGGGGAAUGGAGUGGAGUGGAGUGGAGAAAUGGAAGAGAGGAAGAGUUGUGAGUGUUUUUUGGCAAGUCGGAUGAAAAGUAACAGACCAGAGAAGGGACAGAGAAGAUGAGAGGAAAACACCAAGCACAAGACAGGACAGGAUGUUUACAGGAAAAACAAGGGUGCAGCUUUCCACACGUUCAUUACAUUGACUUCUGACUUCUGUCAAUCAAAGCUUCUACCUUUCUAUGGAGUGUUGUCUGUUGAAGAAGAAUCUUCCAGCCUUUUAGGUUUUUAUUUUCACGUCUUUUUUAUUUGUACUUUUUGAAGUUGUGGAUGUACAGUAUUUUGGUGUACAGUGACAGUACAGUACAGUACAGUACAGUGACAGUACAGUACAGUACAGUACAGUACAGUACAGUACAGUACAGUACAGUACAGUACAGUACAGUACAGUACAGUACAGUGACAGUACAGUGCAGUGACAGUAAAGUACAGUGACAGUACAGUGACAGUACAGUGACAGUACAGUACAGUACAGUGACAGUACAGUGACAGUGACAGUACAGUACAGUACAGUACAGUACAGUACAGUACAGUGCAGUGACAGUACAAUACGGUGACAGUACAGUACAGUGACAGUACAGUGACAGUACAGUACAGUGACAGUACAGUGACAGUGACAGUACAGUACAGUGACAGUACAGUACAGUGACAGUACAGUGACAGUGACAGUACAAUACAGUGACAGUGACAGUGACAGUACAGUGACAGUACAGUGACAGUACAGUGACAGUACAGUACAGUGACUGUACAGUGACAGUACAAUACAGUGACAGUACAAUACAGUGACAGUACAGUGACGGUACAGUGACAGUACAGUACAGUGACAGUACAGUACAUUACAGUGACAGUACAUUGACAGUACAGUGGCAGUAGAGUACAGUGACAGUACAGUACAGUGACAGUACAGUGACAGUACAGUGACAGUACAGUACAGUGCAGUGACAGUACAGUGCAGUGACUGACAGUACAGUGACAGUACAAUACGGUGACAGUACAGUACAGUGACAGUACAGUGACAGUGACAGUACAAUACGGUGAAAGUACAGUACAGUGACAGUACAGUGCAGUGACAGUACAGUGCAGUGACAGUACAGUGCAGUGACAUACAGUACAGUGCAGUGACAGUACAGUGCAGUGACAGUGACAGUACAGUGACAGUACACGGUGACAGUACAGUACAGUGACAGUACAGUGACAGUGACAGUACAAUACGGUGAAAGUACAGUACAGUGACAGUACAGUGCAGUGACAGUACAGUGCAGUGACAGUACAGUGCAGUGACAUGACAGUACAGUGACAGUGACAGUACAGUGACAGUACAGUACAGUGACAG
Oncorhynchus tshawytscha (Chinook salmon) is the source of this 1681-nucleotide long non-coding RNA. Lineage: Eukaryota; Metazoa; Chordata; Actinopteri; Salmoniformes; Salmonidae. The record is from Ensembl.